GAUGAACGCUAGCUACAGGCUUAACACAUGCAAGUCGAACGGAACCUUCGGGUUUAGUGGCGAACGGGUGAGUAAAGCGCAGGUAAUCUGCCGCAAAGUCGGGGACAACGUCCCGAAAGGGACGCUAAUACCGGAUGUUGUAAGAUUCUCGCAUGGGAGUUUUACUAAAGAUUUAUCGCUUUGCGAGGAGCCUGCGUCCGAUUAGGUAGUUGGUGUAGUAAAGGUGCACCAAGCCGACGAUCGGUAGCCGGUCUGAGAGGAUGAACGGCCACAAUGGAACUGAGACACGGUCCAUACUCC
This 300-nucleotide ribosomal RNA is filed under the name uncultured Veillonellaceae bacterium. RNAcentral describes it as "bacterial SSU rRNA". It matches the Rfam family "Bacterial small subunit ribosomal RNA", at positions 28 to 339 of the family's 1533-position model. The record is from RNAcentral. Lineage: Bacteria; Bacillati; Bacillota; Negativicutes; Veillonellales; Veillonellaceae.